RNAcentral lists this long non-coding RNA (278 nucleotides) under Populus trichocarpa (black cottonwood). Its description in RNAcentral is "long non-coding RNA (PTRI_LNC004232)". The record is from RNAcentral. Lineage: Eukaryota; Viridiplantae; Streptophyta; Magnoliopsida; Malpighiales; Salicaceae.
GCAAAGUUAUCACUAAGUACAUAUCUAGGAUCAACUGAUUGCCGAAGCGGAGGGUCUAUGAAGUUGUUGAUGACGCCUUCCAAUACAUUAAACAUCAUGGUGGGCUGGUUUGGCUCUACAACUCGUCUAUCAUUUGCAGGAGAUUUCCUUGUUGAUGGUGUUGGUUUUGUUGCAGCAGGCAAGGUUGUUGUUGAUGAUGCAGGGCGUGAAGUUCGGCUGGUGGUAGGUCUUGUAGUUGAGUUCUGGGGUUUCUCUUCAAUUCUAACUGAUGAUACAUU